Non-coding RNA from Mycena metata, 90 nucleotides. Lineage: Eukaryota; Fungi; Basidiomycota; Agaricomycetes; Agaricales; Mycenaceae. The record is from the annotation of a GenBank genome assembly.
UCGGGCGUGGUGUAGGGCAACAUCUCUAGUGCUGGCACACGAGGAGUAACUAUCUCAAGGCAACCCCGGGUUCGAUUCCCGGCGUCCGAA